AAGGGUUGACCAGUGGUUCCAGGGGUAUUUUGGUAAUUGUUGUUUAUUGUUUGAGUUCAGUGCAUUGGUGGCUGUCCAGAGGUGGAGAUCGUAUCAGUGAUCGGAGCAGCUUGAGCUAUCUGUUCAGUCGGCAGUUUCGAGGUGAGUUAUCCUCACUAUAUCGCUAGGGUUUAUGGCACCAAGGCCGACCCUUUUAUCGGAUGGAAAUCCGGGUAGUUGUCAUUAGUUAUGAUAUGGGCCGGAAGGCAUUAUAUGUUGCAGGCCGGAAGGCAUUACAUGUUAUGGGCCGGAAGGCAUUGCUAUGUGGACCGGAAGGUCAUGGCCUGGAAAGGCGUAUGUAUGCAUUUAGUAUGUUGACUGAUUCGUAGGGUAAUGUUAUGCUAGUGACCGGCUAGACCGGUAUCUUGUUUAGAGUAAUGCUAUGAUAUGUGAUCUGUUGAUCGAUUGUUGUCUGUGAACUGCUAUAUGAUUAUGUGUUAUGAUUGCUAGAUCUGGGGUGUGACCCGAUAUGUAGGGUCGUUCUAUGAUUUGUUAUGUUAUGUAUGCAUUUUAUGCUAUGGGCCGGAAGGCAAUAUGUUAUGGGCCGGAAGGCAAUAUGUUAUGGGCCGGAAGGCAAUAUGUUUGGACCGGAAGGUCGUGGCCUGGAAGGGCGUAUAUGUGGUUGGUAUUUUGGGGGUAUCUCACUAAGCUUUCGGGCUUACAGUUGUGGUUUUAUGUUUCAGGUUCUCAAGAGUCUGUGGCAAGGCAAAGGCGUGAUCGUACCGUUCCUCGCGUUGGUGUUUUAUGAUAUGAACCUGGGAAAAUACUCUGUUAAAUAAUGUAUUGAAAACCUUUUUGUAACAACGUUAUUAAAAUGGGUGGUUUUUGAAAAGUUUUAAUUGUUUUGAAAUUUUGGUCGUUACAAGUUGGUAUCAGAGCCUUGGUUUGAGUGAAUUGGGGGAACACUCGUGUAACUCCAGUCUCAAAUCGAGGAAGGUUUUAAAAGAGAAAUUAAAAUGGUUUUUAAAUUAAGUAAAAGGAGGACGCGGAGGUACGAUCAGCCGGAGCCAGUAAGUAACCCCAAAUUUACCAUUCAUGACACUUGUUUUAUUGAGCUUUGAUAGAACAGCAUGCUAGAGUUAGGCUAGGGAUCUUCAGGAUUUCAUGAUAAUGUUGCCUGAUUUGUGAUGCCUGUAGCCUAGGGUCCCUUAUGGGAGAUUCUCAGUGUUCCUCUAGUGGUGAGGGUUGAUAGUUGUUAUGCAUGUUCUCUAGGGUAUUGUGGUAGUACUUCAUACAAAUAUGGGUAGGUGUGGAAGGUAGUAUGGGCCCGUACUACUGAAAGCACAGGACCCAUACGCGUAUCAGGGAAACCAUGAUCUCUAGGGUUGGGUUGAGAGAGUUGGAUCCCAGGAUUGUGGGAAGUGUCUGAGAUUUGGUAUGGUGUUUUUCAGUAUGGAGAUUCCGAGGCAUGAUGAGAGUGGAUCCGGAUCAGGAUCGGGAGCUGGAGAGAGAGUUCCGGGUGGAUCGGUGCCGUCUGAGGUUAUCGAUCAGAUGAGCACGAGCGAGUUGGAUGCGAGGAUUCGCGAGAUCCUGCAUGAUGAGGUUGCUGCAUUGUUCCGGGCUGAGUUGCCGGAACUGUUUGGGUCGAUCAAGACCGCCAUGGUUGAGUAUUUUGAUGAGCGCUAUGCGGCUCUCGCAGAGACGGCUGCCGCGGCGGCUACAAUGGCUGUAGCAGCGGCAGGGGGAGGAGCUGGUCGGGGUUUUCAGUAUCGGGACUUCGAUAAUACGAAGCCUCCCACCUUUGAUGGAGUUCAGGACCCGAUUGUUGCUAUGAGAUGGUUAUCAGACGUGGAGGGGUGUUUCUUCACGUGUUCAUGCCCUGCUGAUCAGAGGGUGAGGUGUGCUCUGAACCUAUUGAGGCUCGGGGCGAAGGAUUGGUGGAGAUUGACCACGGGGUCAUAUUUCGAUGCGCAGAGGGCUGCGGUUUUAUGGGAUCAGUUCAGAGAGAUGUUCGGCACUCGCUAUGUUCCGUGGGAUGAGAGGGAGAGUUUGGCUCGGGAGUUCCUUGAGCUGAAGCAGGAUUCGGAGUCGGUGACUGAGAUCACCAGGAUGUGUAUUGAGAGGGCGAUGUUUUGCCCUGAGUUCGCUUCGGAGCAGGCUCAGAUGUCCCGAUAUCUGAGUAUGCUCAAGNNNNNNNNNNNNNNNNNNNNNNNNNNNNNNNNNNNNNNNNNNNNNNNNNNNNNNNNNNNNNNNNNNNNNNNNNNNNNNNNNNNNNNNNNNNNNNNNNNNNNNNNNNNGCCGGCGCCGAAACGGUCCAGGACCGUUGAUGCUAGAGUGGGGGAUCGGAGCGGCCACACUUGUGGGAAGUGUGGGAGGGGUCACACCGGAGUUUGUUGGUCCGGUGGUGCAUGCCGCAAGUGCGGAAAGGAGGGGCACUAUGCGCGGGAUUGUCGGCAGUCAGUGCCGAUUCGGGAUUUGAGGAUUUGUUAUCAUUGUCGGCAGGUUGGACAAUUGAGGGUCAACUGUCCACAGCUUUCUGCAGGACCGGUGCAUGCUCUAGCACCGGCCACCUUGAGGAGUUCAGGAGGAGGACAAGAUGGAGCGGAGCCCCAAGGGCUCAGGGUCGUGCUUAUCAGCUUGCAGCAGAGGGAGUUGGAGCAGUGUCGGAGGCAGUUGCGGGUAUGUUGCUUUCUUGAUGUCUUGUUAUCUUGCGUUUAUUGUGGCGUAUUGUUUGUGCUGGUAUCUUGUGUGGAUUCGAUGCGGUAUUCGUUGUUUCGCGGGUUCGGCAUGGUUAUGGAUUGGUGUUUCGGGUUUCCGUUUUGGGUAUCCGUUGUUCCCUGAAGGUUGGUAUGGUUAUAGUUUGGUGGUUGUUAGUCAGUACUUUAAGUGGGGGAGAAUUGGAGAAUUCUCCGGGAGAUCGAUGAGUAUGUGAGGGUGCUUAGCUGUUGGGAUUCAACAGUGUUCUGCCAGCUCAGAGAAUAGGCUGACGAGAGCGAGCGUCGGGUAUGCGGGGCGGGAUACAGACCUAGGGCAUUUGAUUGUGGAGGCCUGGGAGCAGGCCGGGAUCAAGUUUGAGUAAGUAACCGGGGUUAUGUGAUCAGAGUAUUUGUAUGCUUGAUGUACGUGAUGGGUUGUACUGCAUUAACCCCACGGGAUUUAUGUUGUGCAUGUUUCUAGAGAGGGAACCGGAAGGGUCCCAGAGUUAGAACCUGAGGGUUCACAGAGUUUGGGUGUACGGACCCACAGAGAUAUAGCCUCGAGUGGCUAGUGUGUGUUAUGAGAGUCGGUCCAGUCAUGCUGGGGACUCUGAUGGUAUUGUUGGAUCAGUUUGAGAUUUCGGAUUGUGUAUGUGGCAGUGUGAUUACAUCGGAAGGUCUGGCCCCGAGCUAGUGAUUCUGUUUAGUUGAGGUAGUGAUUUUGUGGAAGGGAGAGAGUGCAUGGGCUUGAGAGCCCCUGCAAUGAGAGCCAGAGUAUGUGAAUAGCGGUUAUGCAAAAAGGGUGGUGUCGCGUGGGGCGAGCACCGUGGCACCGGUUGGGGUGGCAUUAUGGCCAAGAGGGUUCCUUGGAAAAGGAAAAGAGAAAGGUGUGUAACUCCGAAGGGGAGUGCAAGUUCACAAAAGGGAAAGCUGCAGAGCAGAGUUACAAUUAGAAUAUUUCGAGUAUGGUUUUGGGCAUCGUGUUCGUGGCAGUGAAGUAGGAACUCAUCCGGUUUGGGAUGUCUGUUGAGGCUCAGAAGGGAUGCAGGGGGAGAGAGAAUCUUGAAUUCUCAAUGUGAUUCUGAUCGGGGUAUAGGGUGGAUAUUAGUGGUUCAUCCUGGGAGAUGUUCGAGGAUGUCAUCAGUGUAUCGGGUCUUCCAACCUGUGGGUGUUGGGGCUAGUUCAGCAUGUGUAUGUGAUUGCAAGAGGAGAACUCGUAAGAGUUGCUCUGAGAGUGAGAAUGGGUUUCUCAGUCGGUCCGGAAUGGACAAAGUGGGCUUUGGAUCGGGGAUCCGAUGGUUCAUGGUUUCCUAACCCUUAUGGGUCGAGUGAUCGUGGAGAUUUAGAGCAGAGUUGCAUCUUGGGUAAUUCUCGGUUACAGAGAGUGAUGGGCAGUACAAAGAUCGUGCUUCAGACGACAGAGCAGAUUCAGCAGGUUAGACAGAGGUUAUUGACCGCCCAGAGCCGACAGAAAAGUUAUGCAGACAGACGCCGGUCCGAGCUUGAGUUUCAGGUCGGCGACUUCGUACUCCUGAAGGUCUCUCCUUGGAAAGGAGUGAUUCGAUUCAGGAAGAGGGGCAAGUUGGGGCCCCGGUAUAUUGGGCCUUUUCAUGUGAUUGCGAGGGUAGGCCGGGUGGCCUACCGUUUGGAGUUGCCAACGGAAUUGAGACAGAUCCACGACACUUUUCAUGUGUCGCAAUUGAGAAAGUGUAUAGCCGAUGAGUCGGCAGUGGUUCCAUUAGAGGACAUUCAGGUGGAUGCGAGCCUGAAUUAUGCCGAGAGACCAGUGGCCAUCAGGGAUCGGAAGAUCAAGGUUCUGAGGAACAAGGAGGUACCUCUGGUGUUGGUUCAGUGGCAACACCGGAAGGGAUCGGAAAUGACUUGGGAGCCGGAGCGUGAGAUGCGGGAGCAGCAUCCGGAGCUAUUUUCAGAGUGAGACUUCGAGGGCGAAGUCUAGUCCUAGUGGGGGAGAGUUGUAACAGCCCGGAAUUUCAGGUAUUGUUAUAUUUAUGAUUUUGGGUGUUUUAAGAGGGGACUCGGCGAGUUGGAGCCUAGACUCGCCGAGUAGGAUCGCGGAUCUGGUCGCGGGUUCGCGACUGGACUCGACGAGUCCGGAUAUGGACUCGGCGAGUCUGCGCUGUUUAGCGAAAACCCUAACCGUUCAGGUUUGGGACGUAUAUGAGGGACCUUAUGGCCGUCAUUGUUCACCCUAGUCCUCUGAGAGAAACCCUAAUUCGAUUGUGAGCAUCUGGAGCAAGGUAGAAGACCAUUGUUGAUUUUGGAAGUGUUGUUUUGCAAGGAAGAGGAGGCUUGGUUAAGGGAACAACAAGAGAAGCCACGUUCUGAGGAUUGGGGACACAGAGAGCACGUUAUUCAGGUAAUAUUUCGAGUUGCAUUCUUCUAUGUUGAUGUGUAUAUGGAUUUAGGGUUUAUUGAACCCUUUUGUGGCUAGAUUGAGUGUUUCCUUAGUCCCCCAAGCGAUUGGAACCCUAUAUUGGGACCCUUGGAAGUCCAGAAUGUCCCAUGCCUGAGCUUUUCGGGAAUCAAUGGAGGUUUUGGAUUGGAAUCCUUAUGCCUUAGGUCAAAAUGUAAAUUAUGAGUCAUGGGGUGUAUUAUGAGCACCGAAAUGAGGACUUUACGUGAUGAACCAGUCUAGGAAGGCCAGACCUAUGAAUGGUCGGAGCAGUUCUGACCUUAGAAAGCAGUUUGAGCGGUUGCAUGGCAUGGACUCGCCGAGUCCGAUGAACAGACUCGGCGAGUAGCUUGAAGAUUAACUGGGACUCGUCGAGUUGUUCUUCAGACUCGGCGAGUUGAGUCGGGGUGGCCCCGCGAUUCUUCCAGGAGGAACUCGUCGAGUAAAAAGGGGAUACUCGACGUGUAGAAAGGGAAUCUUAAGGAAUCGGUGAGUUAAGGGCGAGUGGACUCAGAGUCGUUGAACUCGGCGAGUCUUGGGGUGACUCGGCGAGUUAGGUCGCGGAUUGAGUGAAGUUCUGAGUAUGGGGACUCGGCGAGUCAUAGGGUUGACUCGGCGAGUAGGGUCAGUCAGGGGUUGACUUUGACCUUGCCUUUGACCAAGGAUUGACCAGUGGUUCCAGGGGUAUUUUGGUAAUUGUUGUUUAUUGUUUGAGUUCAGUGCAUUGGUGGCUGUCCAGAGGUGGAGAUCGUAUCAGUGAUCGGAGCAGCUUGAGCUAUCUGUUCAGUCGGCAGUUUCGAGGUGAGUUAUCCUCACUAUAUCGCUAGGGUUUAUGGCACCAAGGCCAACCUUUUUUAUCGGAUGUAAAUCCGGGUAGUUGCCAGUUGUUAUGAUAUGGGCCAGAAGGCGUUAUAUGUUGCAGGCCGGAAGGCAUUACAUGUUGUGGACCGGAAGGUCAUGGCCUGGAAAGGCAUAUGUGUGCAUUUAGUAUGUUGACUGAUUCGUAGGGCUAUGUUAUGCUAGCGACCGGCUAGGCCGGUAUCUUGAAUAGAGUAAUGCUAUGUUAUGUGGUCUGUUGAUCGAUUGCUGACUGUGCACUGUUAUAUGAUUAUGUGUUAUGCAUAUGAUUGCUAGACCUGGGGUGUGACCCGGUAUGCAGGGUCGUUCUAUGUUCUGUUAUGUUAUGUAUGCUUUUACGCUGAUAUGUAUGUUUGUUAUGCUGUGGGCCGGAAGGCAAUAUGUUAUGGGCCGGAAGGCAAUAUGUUAUGGGCCGGAAGGCGAUAUGUUUGGACCGGAAGGUCGUGGCCUGGGAAGGCGUAUAUGUGGUUGGUAUUUUGGGGGUAUCUCACUAAACUUUCGGGCUUACAGUUGUGGUUUUAUGUUUUUAGGUUCUCAGGAGUCUGUGGCAAGGCAAAGGCGUGAUCGUACCGUUCCUCGCGUUGGUGUUUAUGAUAUGAACCUGGGAAAAUACUCUGUUAAAUAAUGUAUUGAAAACCUUUUUGUAACAACAUUAAUAAAAUGGGUGAUUUUGAAAAGUUUUAAUUGUUUUGAAAUUUUAGUCGUUAC
RNAcentral lists this long non-coding RNA (6654 nucleotides) under Lactuca sativa (garden lettuce). RNAcentral describes it as "long non-coding RNA (LSAT_LNC000796)". Lineage: Eukaryota; Viridiplantae; Streptophyta; Magnoliopsida; Asterales; Asteraceae. The record is from RNAcentral.